UUGGUGACUAUAGUACCCCUUUAAAUUUAGUGUCCUAACACUAAAUUUAAAGGGAUACUAUAGUCUUCAAA
Non-coding RNA from Pelobates cultripes (western spadefoot toad), 71 nucleotides. Lineage: Eukaryota; Metazoa; Chordata; Amphibia; Anura; Pelobatidae. The record is from the annotation of a GenBank genome assembly.